GAUGAACGCUGGCGGCGUGCCUAAUACAUGCAAGUCGAACGAACAGACGAGUAGCUUGCUCCUCUGACGUUAUCGGCGGACAAGGGAUGAACACGUCGAUAACAACCCUAUCAGACUUGGUUAACAUCCGGAAAACGGAGCGACUACCGCGGAAUAUAUUGAACCUCAUGGUUCAAUAGUGAGAGACGGUUUUUCUGUCGCUGAUAGAUGGAUCCGCGCCGCAUUAGCUAGUUGGUAAGGUAACGGCUUACCAAGGCAACGAUGCGUAGCCGACCUGAGAGGGGGGUCGGCCACAAUGGUACUGAGACGCGGUCCAGAAUCCUACGGGAGGAAGCAGUAGGGAAUAUUACGGAAUGGGCGGAAGAAUGAUGGUGCAACGCCGCGUGAGGGAUGAAGGUCUUCUGAUCGUUGAAAUCUGUUAUCAGGGAAGAAGAAAUGUGUAAGUAACUAUGCACGUGUUGACGGUAGCUAAUCAGAAAGCCCCGGCUAACUACGUG
This 497-nucleotide ribosomal RNA is filed under the name uncultured bacterium. RNAcentral's name for it is "partial 16S ribosomal RNA". It matches the Rfam family "Bacterial small subunit ribosomal RNA", at positions 28 to 507 of the family's 1533-position model. The record is from RNAcentral.